Molecule: ribosomal RNA, 279 nt
Filed under: uncultured bacterium
Lineage: Bacteria
Description: partial 16S ribosomal RNA
Rfam family: Bacterial small subunit ribosomal RNA
Source: RNAcentral
UGCCAGCCGCCGCGGUAAUACGGAGGGGGUUAGCGUUGUUCGGAAUUACUGGGCGUAAAGCGCGCGUAGGCGGAUUGGAAAGUUGGGGGUGAAAUCCCACGGCUCAACCGUGGAAUUGCGCUUGAAACCACUCGUCUUGAGGGGAUCAGAGGAGAGCGGAACUGAUGGUGGAGCGGUGAAAUGCGUUGAUAUUAUCAGGAACACCGGUGGCGAAAGCGGCUCUCUGGGAUCUUUCUGACGCUGAGGCACGAAAGCUAGGGGAGCGAACGGGAUUAGAUA